AGAGUUUGAUCCUGGCUCAGGAUGAACGCUAGCGGCAGGCCUAACACAUGCAAGUCGAGGGGCAUCACGGAAAAGCUUGCUUUUCUGGUGGCGACCGGCGCACGGGUGCGGAACGCGUAUGGAACCUGCCCCUGUCAGGGGAAUAGCCCAGGGAAACUUGGAUUAAUGCCCCAUGGUACCGCGAUAUCGCAUGAUAUUGCGGUUAAAGAUUUAUCGGACAGGGAUGGCCAUGCGUACCAUUAGUUAGUUGGUGGGGUAACGGCCCACCAAGGCAGCGAUGGUUAGGGGCCCUGAGAGGGGGAUCCCCCACACUGGUACUGAGACACGGACCAGACUCCUACGGGAGGCAGCAGUGAGGAAUAUUGGACAAUGGGCGGGAGCCUGAUCCAGCCAUGCCGCGUGCAGGAUGACUGCCCUAUGGGUUGUAAACUGCUUUUAUACGGGAAGAAACGCACCUACGUGUAGGUGUCUGACGGUACCGUAAGAAUAAGGACCGGCUAACUCCGUGCCAGCAGCCGCGGUAAUACGGAGGGUCCGAGCGUUAUCCGGAAUCAUUGGGUUUAAA
RNAcentral lists this ribosomal RNA (565 nucleotides) under uncultured Bacteroidota bacterium. RNAcentral's name for it is "bacterial SSU rRNA". It matches the Rfam family "Bacterial small subunit ribosomal RNA", at positions 8 to 564 of the family's 1533-position model. Lineage: Bacteria; Pseudomonadati; Bacteroidota. The record is from RNAcentral.